UCGGGCGUUGACCCGAGCUUCAGCCUCUCUCUCCUCUCUCUGGCUACGUCAGUCUUUCCCGACUCUUCGUCGUUGAUUCCGGCCACCACUCACCGCCACAUCGGUCUCAAAAUGACCGUCUCAUUCUCUUCUAUCUAACCCGGUCCAUAGAACUCGAUGUUAGCCCGAUUCAAAGCCAAACCGAGGGAGAGAAGCUCGGCUGUUUUUCGGCGAAUCCUCGAGAUUCCGACCACGGCGUGACGAGUGGGAGGUAGGGUUAUCUUCCUCUCUUCCUACUUCACCUUCUGGUGCCUUUCUUUUCCCCAUAUCGUGCCUUAAUUGAAGACCCAUUUUUCUGUGUUCUCCGAGUUUCGAGCUCCUAGCUCAGGCGACCCUAGCUCGGUGGUUUCUGGCGAGUUCUUCAGCGUUUUGGCAGGUCAUGUGAGCUUGGUGUGAAGUUGAGACGGACAUUGAUGGAGUUGCAUAUCGAUCAGGAUCGAGGCAGAGGUCUGGUGCGCUUGACCGAAGAGGAUCCGAGGUGAAUGGUGUUGUUGCAGUGAAGAAUGAGGCAACGGUUGUGGAUGUUUAGGGGUCCUGCAUAUUGAGUCCGGACCAGGAGAGUUCUUGGGAUAGCACUUGAGAUCAAUGGAAUGUAAUCUUGAUCUCCUUUGAUGUUAUAUAGUUGUUGUGUGGAUAUUCGGACUGAUUGGAUGCAUUUUUUUUGGUGUUGCUUGUGGAGAACUUGGUGUAUUGAAGAAUAUAGGGAGGUCAUGGCAAAAUUCCGGUAAGAGGCCAGAAUCCGGCAGAAUAUUCCGGCAAGUCGCUGGAGUCCGGCAAGGGGUGGAGCUGGCAGAAAUGAUGGAGGUAGUGAUCGAUGUUUCUUUUUCAUUGUAUGUCAUUUCGGGAAUAGGAAAGUUUGGAUUGUAAUCGGAAAAAUUGUCAAGUUAGGAAAGUUUCUAUUUGGGAUACUUUCCGUUUUUGGAAACCUUCCAUUUAUGGAAACCGUUUUUGGGUGCCCUUAGUAGUUUUGUGGUUUUUCAUAUUAAUAUGGUUCGUAUGUUUUUGACUUAAAGAAAUUACAUUAGUUUGAUUAAUAAAAAAUCGAGGUUCACCAAAACAAAUUAUUAAGUGAUGCCUAAGCGUCUAACGGUUAGUGGGACGUAUAGAGAAAAUUGGAUCGAAUUGUUAAGUCAAAGGUUGAAUUGAAAAACGUUGAGCAUCGUUAGUUGGUCAAAUCAGUUUGACCUAAGAAACCUUAGUCAAACUAGGAAAGAAGGCGAGGCAAAGGUUAUUUUAAAGUUUGGUCUGACCAAUUUGUCCUACAACUUAUGGUCAGGCAUGGGAUUGACUCAAGGACAUGGAUAUUUGGAAGCGGCGCUCAAGGAGUGUCCCGAGCAAUGGAAAACUUAAGCCUAAUACUGUGAGUGGACAUUUUCAUUUUAAAUAAAUAUGCAUGCAAGAUUUUAUAAUUUAUUAUUUUAUUUUCCGAGCUUAUAUUAUAAUUUUGGCUUAUGAGAUGUUCUUGGAAAUUAUUUGAGUUUGAAGCAUUGCUUAAGUGUUGGUCAUGAUAUAUGGAUUCGAGCUCAGGUUAUAUAGUUGGUAUUUAAGUUUUGAUAUUCUUUAUGACUCCGGAUUUAAAUAUUUUCGGUUUUAUUUUUUUGAUGACUUUGAAAUUUAUAAAUGAUUACCGAAAAUGGGAUUUUCAGUAGUUCUCCAUCAUAAUUUAAUUGUUUAUUGAUGCAUAAUGAUUUUGACUUGGAGAAUAUUUUAGCGAGAAUUUUCGAGUGGGGAUAUUAUUAUUUAUGAUUUAUAUUUGAUAUUGAAAUCUCGCUUAUAUUUAUAAAUGUGAGAAUAUUUUGACGUGUGAGAGACGUCAUUGAGUUUUAAUAUAAUAUCUUAUGAUGAUUUUCAAGUACAGUUGGAAACCGUACCAUUCGUAUGAUAUUGGUGAAGUUUAAUGGAUUUAAGUGAUUUCGUAUGUUUUUAGUCACCAUAAUAUAGGGUUGAUUUAUAUUGAUUAUUGCUAGCUAACCUUAUUAGCGGUCCUCAUCAUAUGUGAGUCCACUACCAGAAGAAAGGCUUUAGCCGACGAAAAUAAAAAAACCAGGCCGACAAAUUAUUUUUUCAUCGGCUAAAGUCCACUUUAGCCGACGAAAUUUUCCUUCGUCGGCUAAUUUAAAAUUUUCGUCAGCUAUGGUCAACUUUAGCCGACGAAAUUUUAAUUUCGUCGUCUGAAUAAUUUUUUUCGUCGGUUAUAGUUUGUGAACUUUAGCCGACGAAAUUUUUAAAAGUUUAGCCAACGAAAAAUAUAAUUUCGUCGGCUAAAGUGCCUUAUAUUUGCAGAUCUGGACAACAACUCAUCUGGGAAAAAAAAACUAUACGUAGAACCUUCAAACGCAAAAAAGUCGUGAAAUAAGAUAUGACCAAAAUGGUGAAAUACGUCUACAGUUGAAAAAUCAUGGUAUUCCGGUAAAGUACCAGUGCCGAUAGUUGCGGUCAAUGCAAUUUACCCUUAUUAUUCACUAUGCUGCAGAUUUGGCGUUUGGUGUCCGAUUGACUAUUGUGAUACCUUUCCGGAAGCAUAACGGCCCUACGAGUCAAACUCAACGCUUUGCCCUGACAUAUGGGUCUUUUUGGCCAUCCGAGUCCGUUUAGGGCUUCAAAAUGUAGUUUUCUUAUUUCCGAUUAAAGUUAGACCGUUUCGAUCGAGCCCUUAACGUUGUCGGAUCCAGUUGAAUUUUUUACCAUAGACAUCUUUCGUCAUAAUGAUCAUAUCUGACGGUCGAAUUUUGGUUUGUGAAUUUUAGUCAUCAGAAUCACAAUGUGUACUAUUUACCGUUAUUCUUCCCUAUGGGGAGCCCUACCGUCGGAAAGUAAAUGUCUCAAAAUUUUUAUAUGGGCAGUUGCGUCUCAUCUACGUGAGAGCUUUUUGUGUGGAAGGUUUGACCAAACGACGUAAUAUAGAGGGAGAUAUGAGCGUUUUUGUGUGAUAAGUGAUGAUGGAUUAGGGUUGACCGUUUCGAUCGAGCCCUUAACGUUGUCGGAUCCAGUUGAAUUUUUUACCAUAGACAUCUUUCAUCAUAAUGAUCAUAUCUGAUGGUCGAAUUUUGAUUUGUGAAUUUUAGUCAUCGGAAUCACAACGUGUCUACUAAUGUUGUAUAACUUGUUUAGUAG
RNAcentral lists this long non-coding RNA (3153 nucleotides) under Fragaria vesca (wild strawberry). Its description in RNAcentral is "long non-coding RNA (FVES_LNC001981)". Lineage: Eukaryota; Viridiplantae; Streptophyta; Magnoliopsida; Rosales; Rosaceae. The record is from RNAcentral.